Molecule: ribosomal RNA, 464 nt
Filed under: uncultured Desulfovibrio sp.
Lineage: Bacteria; Pseudomonadati; Thermodesulfobacteriota; Desulfovibrionia; Desulfovibrionales; Desulfovibrionaceae
Description: bacterial SSU rRNA
Rfam family: Bacterial small subunit ribosomal RNA
Source: RNAcentral
CACAAGCGGUGGAGUAUGUGGUUUUAAUUCGAUGCAACGCGAAGAACCUUACCUAGGUUUGACAUCCGGAAGACCUUCCCGAAAAGGAAGGGUGCCCUUCGGGGAAUUCCGAGACAGGUGCUGCAUGGCUGUCGUCAGCUCGUGCCGUGAGGUGUUGGGUUAAGUCCCGCAACGAGCGCAACCCCCUAUUGCCAGUUGCUACCAGGUAAUGCUGGGCACUCUGGUGAGACUGCCCCGGUUAACGGGGAGGAAGGUGGGGACGACGUCAAGUCAUCAUGGCCCUUACGCCUAGGGCUACACACGUACUACAAUGGCGCAUACAAAGGGCAGCGAUACCGCGAGGUGGAGCCAAUCCCAUAAAACCGAUCGUAGUCCGGAUCGCAGUCUGCAACUCGACUGCGUGAAGUCGGAAUCGCUAGUAAUCGUGAAAUCAGAAUGUCACGGUGAAUACGUUCCCGGGCCUU